RNAcentral lists this long non-coding RNA (2465 nucleotides) under Homo sapiens (human). RNAcentral's name for it is "NR2F1 regulatory antisense RNA 1, transcript variant 11 (NR2F1-AS1)". Lineage: Eukaryota; Metazoa; Chordata; Mammalia; Primates; Hominidae. The record is from RNAcentral.
GUCUCAGCUCGAGCAUUCCUAGCGCCAACACGCCCUCAGGUAAAGGUGGAAGUAAAUGGCCACGCUGUAUUGACAGAGGUAGGGUUUGUUUUUUAAUACUCGUUCUCACUUUAAGUCUCACCAGGGAGGGGUUUGGGAAGCACUGCGUGUUUGGGGGACGUUUUGCGCUUCCUGGUCUCUCCAGCCUACAAGUCGGGAGUCGGCGACCGCUUAGUGACGAGCGAUGAUUUUAAAGAGCAGAAUAAAAGGUUUUCCCGUGCCUGCCCCACAGCCCCUCCAGCUCGAAUAAUGGAGAACUGUCAAUGCACUCCGCGAGCGGUGGCCCAUUGUACGCAGCUGAUGGCGAGGAGGCGACUGGGGGUAGCAGGGGCUCCUUGCCCUCGUCCCUAUGCCCAAAUAAACGCGCAAACGCGCUCCCGUCUUCUGGUCAGUUAAAAGGUGAAACGAACACGAUUAAAAUAGACCAAAAGAAAAGAAAGAAAAGAAAACCUUUCUAUGUACAGAUUCUAAAUCGUACUCCCCAUACAGUCAGAGGCAGGGAGUCGAGGGCAGAGGCAGCAGGCGGAGAGAGGGAGAUAGGGCGAGGGAAGGAGAACGCGGAGAGAGACGAAGGGAGUGGGAGACCAGCGACAGCGAGCGCCAGGGCACCGCAGGCACACUGGAUGCCCAGUCCGCCGGCCCAGCCGCCCUCGGACCCUGGACCGUGCGUCGUGGGCACCAGAAACGAGACUCGGCCAAAUCCUGCCUCACCAGGUAGAUGAAACUCAAGAGAAAAGGUGUGGAUAAAUGAAACUAGCCCAUGAUGAACCUGUUUUCUCCGUGACCACAAUAUUAACCAGGAUGAAUGGCGGUGGCAGUGGGCCUGCAUCACAGGUUGCAGCAGAUGUUCUCAAUAUUUCUAUUAAAAUUUCCUUAUUUCCAUAUGCAAGAGGAGCCCCAGAGCUGCAUCCUUAUGGUAGCUACCAUGCCGUGAUGUAAGCUGCCAUUCACUGGGGAGCUUUGGCAAUAGAAUUGGCUAGAUCAGGAAGCCUAUGUCAACUAUGGAACAACAACUUGCAGCUCAUCUCUAUUGAUGGGUGAAGGUACGCUCAAGCGUCGUCACUGAGGACAAGUUAACGAGAGAUUCCCGAGUAUGUCUACAGUCAGCCUUGCGAUAUUUGAAGUUGUACAAUGAACCCAUCAGAGAUGCAAAGAAAAGCACCUCCAUGGAGAUGGAGACACCGCAGUUGAGCACCAUCGACUCACAAGAUGAAUAGAAUGGUGAUGUCAGAACAGAUGAAGUUGCCAUCCACCAAGAAGGCAGAGCCACCGACUUGGGCACAAUUAAAGAAGCUGACAGAGUUAGCUAAAAAAAAAAAGCCUAGAGAACACAAAGGUGACACAAACUUCAGAGAACAUGCUGUUUGCAGCUUUGAUGAUUGUAUCAACGGUGUGUGCAGGUGUACCUAGCAGCUCCAAAGAGACAGCGACCAUCGAGGACAAGCCAUGAUGACAAUGGUGGUUUUGUCAAAAAGAAAAGGGGGAAAUGUGGGGAAGAGAAAGAGAGAUCAGACUGUUACUGUGUCUAUGUAGAAAGAAGUAGACAUAAGAGACUCCAUUUUGUUCUGUACUAAGAAAAAUUAUUUUGCCUCGAGAUGCUGUUAAUCUGUAACCCUACCCUUAACCCUGUGCUGGCAGAAACACGUGCUGUGACGACUCAAGGUUUAGUGGAUUUAGGGCUAUGCAGGAUGUGCUUUGUUAAACAAAUGCUUGAAGGCAGCAUGCUUGUUAAAAGUCAUCACCACUCCCUAAUCUCAAGUACCCGGGGACACAAAACACUGUGGAAGGCUGCAGGGACCUCUGCCUAGGAAAGCCAGGUAUUGUCCAAGGUUUCUCCCCAUGUGGUAAUCUGAAAUAUGGCCUCGUGGGAAGGGAAAGACCUGACCGUUCCCCAGCCCGACACCCGUAAAGGGUCUGUGCUGAGGAGGAUUAGUAAAAGAGGAAGGCCUCUUUGCAGUUGAGAUAAGAGGAAGGCAUCUGUCUCCUGCUCGUCCCUGGGCAAUAGAAUGUCUGGGUGUAAAACCCGAUUGUAUAUUCCAUCUACUGGAGAUAGGAGAAAACCGCCUUAGGGCUGGAGGUGAGACAUGCUGGCGGCAAUAGGCAAUAGUGCUCUUUAAAGCAUUGAGAUGUUUAUGUAUGUGCACAUUAAAAGCACAGCACCUUUUUCUUUACCUUGUUUAUGAUGUAGAGAUGUUUGUUCACGUUUUCCUGCUGACCCUCUCCCCACUAUUACCCUGUUGUCCUGCCACUCUCCAUUGUCUCCCUGUUGUCCCCCUCUCCGAUAUGGUAGAGAUACUAAUGAAUAAAUACUGAGGGAACUCAGAGACCGGUGCCGGCGUGGGUCCUCCAUAUGCUGAACGCCGGUUCCCUGGGCCCACUUUUCUUUCUCUAUUAAAAAAAAAAAAAAUUAAAAAUGUAAAAAAUUA